Molecule: non-coding RNA, 541 nt
Organism: Canis lupus familiaris (dog)
Lineage: Eukaryota; Metazoa; Chordata; Mammalia; Carnivora; Canidae
Source: the annotation of a RefSeq genome assembly
UCAAAGGAUAUGCAAAUAGGGCCCUCACUUCACUGAUAAAACCAGCCCAUCCCGACUCUGAUACUAGGAGAGGAGUCCCAACCCCAGGAUCCACAAGUGACCCUGCUUAGGGAUAAGGGUGGAGAACAGACGACUAAACAUGGAAUCUUUCCUUGGCUGGGUUUUCCUUGUCGCUAUUUUAAAAGGUGUCCAGGGUGAGGUGCAGCUGGUGGAAUCUGGGGGAGACCUGGUGAAGCCUGGGGGAUCCCUGAGACUCUCUUGUGUGGCCUCUGGAUUCACCUUCAGUAGCCAUGCCAAGAGCUGGGUCCGCCAGGCUCCAGGGAAGGGGCUGCAGUGGGUCGCAGUUAUUGGCAGUAGUGGAAGUAGCACAGGCUACGCAGACACUGUGAAGGGCUGAUUCACCAUCUCCAGAGACAAUGCCAAGAACACGCUGUAUCUGCAGAUGAACAGCCUGAGAGCUGAGGACACAGCCGUGUAUUACUGUGCGAAGGACACAGUGAGUCAACCUCAGUGUGAGCCCAGACAGAAACCUCUCUGUUAA